This 403-nucleotide ribosomal RNA is filed under the name uncultured bacterium. RNAcentral describes it as "bacterial SSU rRNA". It matches the Rfam family "Bacterial small subunit ribosomal RNA", at positions 120 to 518 of the family's 1533-position model. The record is from RNAcentral.
UGCAACCUACCUAUCAGAGGGGAAUAACCCGGCGAAAGUCGGACUAAUACCGCAUAAAACAGGGGCACCGCAUGGUGAUAUUUGUUAAAGAAAUUCGGCUGAUAGAUGGGCAUGCGUUCCAUUAGGUAGUUGGUGAGGUAACGGCUCACCAAGCCGACGAUGGAGUAGGGAACUGAGAGGUUGGUCCCCCACACUGGUACUGAGACACGGACCAGACUCCUACGGGAGGCAGCAGUGAGGAAUAUUGGUCAAUGGGCGGGAGCCUGAACCAGCCAAGUCGCGUAGAAGGAAGAAGGAUCUAUGGUUACGUAAACUUCUUUGCGAGGGGAAUAAAGUGCGGGACGUGUCCUGUUUUGUAUGUACCCUGAGAAUAAGGAUCGGCUAACUCCGUGCCAGCAGCCGC